Salvia miltiorrhiza (redroot sage) is the source of this 879-nucleotide long non-coding RNA. RefSeq lists it as uncharacterized. NCBI's taxonomy places the organism in Eukaryota, Viridiplantae, Streptophyta, Magnoliopsida, Lamiales, Lamiaceae. The transcript has 3 exons. The record is from RefSeq and is a predicted model, not a curated record.
UUCAAAAGCUAUGCUAUCGAAGAAGCUGCCCACUGACAUAACUGUGGAAGAAGAGGUUUUAUUGAACAAUAAUGCUAUUUGGACAAGAAUUUGUCCAAAUAUAUUUCAAAAUAUACUUUAUUGAAAAUAUAUUUCAAACUUCAAACCCCUCAACCACCCCAACACACACACCUGGUUCUGCAUAAUAAGAUCAAUUCAUCAUGCAUGAAGGUUCAUAGCUCUCAAAAAUAUAUACUACGAAAUUAACCAAUUGUGGGUUUCAUACACAAAUUUUUUGGUGUUGGAGAUUGAAGCAAAGUUAGCAUAUGAGUUUGUAUGGGAUAUGACGACACCGGUCUCAUUGAUUCAACUAUUGCCUUGGACUCGGUGAUUUGCCACUUUUGUUUCACAGGCUUGCGCCCCACCAAAUUCCGGCUAGCCAUGGAGCCCGCCGGAGCUGCUGCCGCUGCCGCUGCUGCAUCAUCAUCACCUACUUCUGCUCAGGUGAUGCUAAUGCCUCAUGUUUGGGGAUCUCUUCUCAAACCAAAAUCUCUUCUUUUCAAAUGGGGCUUUCCUUCCUUGUCUCUCUUCUCUUACAUUAGCUUCUGAUCCAUCGCAUUGCCGGCGGCGGUGUGAUAUUGGCGGGACGGCUCAAUCUGUUCUUUUUUUCAAUUUUUUUUUUUACUUUUCGCUUCUUUUUUUCUUCCCUCUGCUUGAUCUAGUUGGAUGAUAUAAUUAUUGAGUGAUAUAUCAUGUUUAUAUGCAAAGCGAUUCUUGGUUUCUUCGGCAUUCUAGAUUUUGAUGCUAACCUCUCAAGCUUUGUAGUGUUGUUUGAUUACUUCAAAUCUUUGAAGAAAUUAAACAAUUUUAUUAGACAUAAUAUGUUAAGCUUUUUGAGUA